AGCAGCCGCGGUAAUUCCAGCUCCAAUAGCGUAUAUUAAAGUUGUUGCAGUUAAAAAGCUCGUAGUCGAAUUUCGGAAUCUGUCCGUUGGUCGGGCUUUAUUGUCCGUACUGAUGUGAUGGGUUCUUACCUUCUGAAUAACCAGCAUGUCAUUAAUUUGGUGUGUUGGGGAAGCAGGACUAUUACCUUAGAAAAAAUUAGAGUGCUCAAAGCAGGCUAGUGCCUGAAUACAUUAG
This 235-nucleotide ribosomal RNA is filed under the name uncultured Acaulosporaceae. RNAcentral describes it as "partial 18S ribosomal RNA". It matches the Rfam family "Eukaryotic small subunit ribosomal RNA", at positions 569 to 807 of the family's 1831-position model. Lineage: Eukaryota; Fungi; Glomeromycota; Glomeromycetes; Diversisporales; Acaulosporaceae. The record is from RNAcentral.